CCUUUGGGUGGGGAAUAACAGCCGGAAACGGCUGCUAAUACCGCAUAAUGCAGCGGCUCGACAUCGAGACAGUUGUUAAAGCGGGGGAUUGGAGCAAUCCGACCUCGCGCCUAAAGAGAAGCCUGCGGCAGAUUAGCUAGUUGGUAAGGUAAUGGCUUACCAAGGCGACGAUCUGUAACCGGCCUGAGAGGGCGGUCGGUCACACUGACACUGACAUACGGGUCAG
RNAcentral lists this ribosomal RNA (226 nucleotides) under uncultured bacterium. RNAcentral describes it as "partial 16S ribosomal RNA". It matches the Rfam family "Bacterial small subunit ribosomal RNA", at positions 129 to 334 of the family's 1533-position model. The record is from RNAcentral.